This 2524-nucleotide long non-coding RNA is filed under the name Chrysemys picta bellii (western painted turtle). RNAcentral's name for it is "lncRNA (ENSCPBG00000012156.1)". Lineage: Eukaryota; Metazoa; Chordata; Testudines; Emydidae. The record is from RNAcentral.
GAUCAUAGUAAGAUGCCAGUUCUUGCAGGGAAAGUGCUCGGAGGGAGGUGGGAGCAGUAUUCAAACAGCUACAGCUGCGCUGGCUAUCUGCCUCGUGGACCUGGACAUGUCUCACAUCCAGUUUAAUCCCGUCUGCUUUGGAGCCAUUUCACUACGGAGAAAUGUUGUUCUCGCCCCUUCCUACCUACAAGUUGGGUCUCCCCAGUUUGUUUGAUAAUAGAAUUCAUUCAGUUUGAUUUGUUCCUAUCUAAAGCCGUGCAUACGAGCUGAGAGAACCCUUGCCUUUGUGACUCUUCUCAGGAACUUGUGUCAGGACAACUAUGUAGCUCAAGGAUGUGGUAAAUCCACAUCCCUGAGUGAUGUAGUCACACCCGCCUAACCGCCAGUGUAGACAGUGCUAUGUUGACGGAAGGGCUUCCGCCUCUCGGGGAGGUGGCGUAACUACACUGCUGGGAGAAGCUCUCUCAUCAGUGCAGGUAGUGUCUUCACUAAGCACUGCAGAGGCGCAGCAGGCCUGCCGCGCUGUAAGUGUGGACAAGCCCUCAGAGUUAGCCUGUGCUGUGUUAUGUCUCCAGGCAGUGGUGGACACACACCAGGGCAUGGAUCCCAAAUGCAUCAGGCAUGGACCUUGACAGGAUGUACUGCACCCGCUCCACACCACUUUGCCAGACACACGAAUCAGGCAGGUGCGCUUCCUGAUGGGCGAUAUAUGUUAUAUCCUGCUUUGCUUCUGAGGAUCUGUUGGAGUGGGAGAACUCACCCCCAAGAUGUGCAAGACAGGAUCUGGAAUGAAACGUGACAGAGCCCAGCCUUUCCAGUUUGUAUCUGUUCACUCAGGAGAAUUUCCGCAAGUCCUGUCCAUGUGCCCCAGAAUGGGAUUUCAUUCUCAGAUUGCUAGCCCAGAUGUUCUUGCUUUCAUUUACACACUCUCAUGAGGAGGUUUUUAGGUCUAAAUUUGACCUAUGGAAUCUUAAAGUGCAAUUUCCUUUUGAAAGGUGACUCUUAAAGAUGGCCCACAGGGGCGCUGUGUUUAUUUUCUCUCCGUGACUGCCAGUCAAACGGGCUCAGUUUACAAGUAAAGGGCUGGUUAUUUGACCUGCCAGUCCUGCCACAGGGAGCAGCUCUGCUGUGCACCAUGGCCCCACUUUAACAGCCCCUUUCCAGUGCAGAGCUGCACUCGACAGUUCUUGUCUGAUGCAGGAAGGGACCCACUUUCUAACUAGAUCAAUUCUGGUUAUUUUAAAACCUGUUAGAUUUUCAGAGCGAUUAUAAUAGUUAUCUAGCAAAAGAGAUAUGCCAAACAGGACUCAGUGAUACCAGCACACAAGAGAGAUGCUUGAAACCAAAGUUGUUAAACGGCAGCUUAGCAGGGCGGCUGCUUGCCCUACAGUAGAGCAUUCCUGGCUGGAAUUAGACUGUCACCCAGGCUUUGCCAAGGUCACCGUGCUGCUCUGGGGGCCCUAAAUGCUCUUAAAUCUCCAACUUCCUUGGCUGGUGGUGAUUCACAGCUUCUCUGGGGUGUAAAAUGAAGCCAAUAGAGAUGUGCUGCCUUACGACAUUAAGCAGAUCACAAUGGCUGACUUGCACCUCCCCAGAGACACACGCAUGCCUCCCACUGUCCAGUGUAAGGGGAGUAGCAAUCAUUGGAGAGCUAGCCCUUGGAGAAACCCAGGUGGUGGGAGGCAGUUGUGGGCCAAAAGCCUAAUGGGGAGAAAUUGUCUCGAGUAAAUUGUACUUUAUUUUGCUUUAUACUCCAUUUUGCUAGCUUUGAAUUAGUACGAAGAAAUUGUAGCCUUGAAUUAAUAAGAAAAAAAUGUUCUAAGUUUAUUCUUUGCUGAUUGUGUUAAUGAUUGUUCUUAGAAGGACAGAAGUUUUAUGGCUGUAAUUAUUGCCUUACUUACUGUUUGGUAUGUGAGUGAAGAAUGUAUGGUGUACUAAUUAACGGAGAAAAGACAGCUGGGCCGGAUGGUCAAGAGGGGAGUGGAGAACUCGAGAAGCACCAACUUUAUUAUCAGAAUCACCCGGAUGGCAGAUGGAUGACCCUAAAGCAAAGGCAUACACCCCAAGAACAAGAUAAGGAGUUGAGCCAGAGGGCCGAGAUAAGAAACAGCUGCAAAUCCUCCCGGUAACAACUUAAAAUAAUGCUAAUUAAGAGCAACCUUGAAUAUCUUGUGACUAACAGCUCCAGUGUGACACAGCAAGGUCUAUAGACUUCUAUGGGAACGUAUUACUAUAAAAGAAGGGUGUAUUGCCAUAGGACUUUGGGUUCAUUCUGCAUCAACAUCGGAGCUUCGAAUGCAUUCGACAGAGAUCCAACUCCCCUCCCUCGUGUGCAGUUUCAGCUGCCCACUGGAACUGACCCAGCAACACUAAGGACUGGUAACUACAAGAUCCAGUUGCAGAAUCUUUGUGUGUGUGUGUGUGUGUGCAUGUGUGUGUGUGUGUGAAUGGAAGCAAACGCUGAUUUUAAUGCUUAAAUUGUACUCUCAAUAAAUGCGGCGUAUUGCCUUAUCUCUUUUAAAAG